AGCUCUUCAAGUGGUCGGGACUAUUAUUGGGCUUAAAGUGUCCGUAGCCGGUUUGGUAAGUCCCUGGUUAAAGCUGGAAGCUUAACUUUCAGUUCGCUAGGGAAACUACCUUACUAGAGGGCGGGAAAGGUGUGAGGUACUCCAGGGGUAGCGGUGAAAUGCGAUAAUCCUUGGGGGACCACCAGUGGCGAAGGCGUCAGACUGGAACGCGCCUGACGGUGAGGGACGAAAGCCAGGGGAGCGAACGG
This 248-nucleotide ribosomal RNA is filed under the name uncultured crenarchaeote. Its description in RNAcentral is "partial 16S ribosomal RNA". It matches the Rfam family "Archaeal small subunit ribosomal RNA", at positions 478 to 726 of the family's 1478-position model. Lineage: Archaea; Thermoproteati; Thermoproteota. The record is from RNAcentral.